RNAcentral lists this ribosomal RNA (468 nucleotides) under uncultured bacterium. RNAcentral describes it as "partial 16S ribosomal RNA". It matches the Rfam family "Bacterial small subunit ribosomal RNA", at positions 28 to 507 of the family's 1533-position model. The record is from RNAcentral.
GACGAACGCUGGCGGCGUGCUUAACACAUGCCAGUCGAACGGAAAGGCCCUGCUUUUGUGGGGUGCUCGAGUGGCGAACGGGUGAGUAACACGUGAGUAACCUGCCCUUGACUUUGGGAUAACUUCAGGAAACUGGGGCUAAUACCGGAUAGGAGCUCCUGCUGCAUGGUGGGGGUUGGAAAGCUUCGGCGGUUGGGGAUGGACUCGCGGCUUAUCAGCUUGUUGGUUGGGUAGUGGCUUACCAAGGCUUAGACGGGUAGCCGGCCUGAGAGGGUGGCCGGCCACAUUGGGACUGAGAUACGGCGCAGACGGGUACGGGAGGCAGCAGGGGGGAGUAUGGCACAAUGGGCGGAAGCCUGAGGAAGCAGCGCUGCGUGCGGGAUGACGGCCAUCGGGUGGUAAACCGCAGUCGCCUGUGACGAAGCGUGAGUGACGGUAAUGGGUAAAGAAGCACCGGCUAACUACGUG